AGACAACUCUCAACAACGGAUAUCUUGGCUCUCGCAACGAUGAAGAACGCAGCGAAAUGCGAUACGUAGUGUGAAUUGCAGAAUUCCGUGAAUCAUCGAAUCUUUGAACGCAUAUUGCGCUCGAGGCCUCGGCUGAGAGCACGCCUGUAUGAGCGACAGCU
RNAcentral lists this ribosomal RNA (161 nucleotides) under Cymbomonas tetramitiformis. Its description in RNAcentral is "5.8S ribosomal RNA". It matches the Rfam family "5.8S ribosomal RNA". Rfam says of the family: 5.8S ribosomal RNA (5.8S rRNA) is a component of the large subunit of the eukaryotic ribosome. It is transcribed by RNA polymerase I as part of the 45S precursor that also contains 18S and 28S rRNA. The record is from RNAcentral. Lineage: Eukaryota; Viridiplantae; Chlorophyta; Pyramimonadophyceae; Pyramimonadales; Pyramimonadaceae.